RNAcentral lists this microRNA precursor (102 nucleotides) under Solanum lycopersicum (tomato). RNAcentral's name for it is "miR7981b stem-loop (sly-MIR7981b)". The record is from miRBase by way of RNAcentral. Lineage: Eukaryota; Viridiplantae; Streptophyta; Magnoliopsida; Solanales; Solanaceae.
UUUUUACCCCUUUUUAGCUUACGUGGCACUAUCUUGUGGGCUCAACGAUGAUUGACUUUUUUUUUGAACUAGUGCCACGUAGACUAAAAAGGGGUAGAAAAU